CACGUACUGUGCGAACGUUAUUCGGAAUCACUGGGCUUAAAGGGUGCGUAGGCGGCCUUGUCAGUCAGGUGUGAAAUCCCACGGCUCAACCGUGGAACUGCGCUUGAAACUGCAAGGCUUGAGUGAGACAGGGGUGUGUGGAACUUCUAGUGGAGCGGUGAAAUGUGUUGAUAUUAGAAGGAACACCGGUGGCGAAAGCGACACACUGGGUCUUAACUGACGCUGAGGCACGAAAGCUAGGGUAG
Molecule: ribosomal RNA, 245 nt
Filed under: uncultured Rubinisphaera sp.
Lineage: Bacteria; Pseudomonadati; Planctomycetota; Planctomycetia; Planctomycetales; Planctomycetaceae
Description: partial 16S ribosomal RNA
Rfam family: Bacterial small subunit ribosomal RNA
Source: RNAcentral